Molecule: ribosomal RNA, 448 nt
Filed under: uncultured bacterium
Lineage: Bacteria
Description: bacterial SSU rRNA
Rfam family: Bacterial small subunit ribosomal RNA
Source: RNAcentral
UAGGGAAUAUUGCACAAUGGGCGCAAGCCUGAUCCAGCCAUGCCGCGUGGAUGAUGAAGGCCUUAGGGUUGUAAAAUCCUUUUCGUUGGGGACGAUAAUGACGGUACCCAAAGAAGAAGCUCCGGCUAACUUCGUGCCAGCAGCCGCGGUAAUACGAAGGGGGCUAGCGUUGUUCGGAUUUACUGGGCGUAAAGCGCGUGUAGGCGGGUCGUUAAGUUGGGGGUGAAAUCCCGAGGCUCAACCUCGGAACUGCCUUCAAAACUGGCGACCUGGACUCAAGCAGAGGCAAGUGGAAUUGCGAGUGUAGAGGUGAAAUUCGUAGAUAUUCGCAGGAACACCAGUGGCGAAGGCGACUUGCUGGGCUUGUAGUGACGCUGAGACGCGAAAGCGUGGGGAGCAAACAGGAUUAGAUACCCUAGUAGUCCCUGAGCGGGCUGGCAAGGCGCAU